UUCGCGACCGGAUCCACCUCGCGGGUGACCACCAGGUAGUUGCGCAGCGCGAUCGCGUGCAGAUGCUC
This 68-nucleotide small RNA is filed under the name Mycobacterium sp. BK558. RNAcentral's name for it is "ASdes TB sRNA". It matches the Rfam family "ASdes TB sRNA". The record is from RNAcentral. Lineage: Bacteria; Bacillati; Actinomycetota; Actinomycetes; Mycobacteriales; Mycobacteriaceae.